GCAAACUUGGUCAUUUAGAGGAAGUAAAAGUCGUAACAAGGUUUCCGUAGGUGAACCUGCGGAAGGAUCAUUAAAAAAACUUUGCCCGCGGACCCUGGGUCCAAGGCGCAAAACCCACACUGUGUGCACUGUUAUCGUUCUUUUGGCAGGGGCUUGGGGUAUCUUCCAACUUGGGGAACCUCAACUUCUCGUCUAGCUCUAUCCACCUCGGACAGCCGGACAUGAGAAGCAGUUACUCUGCCAAGUGACCCUUAAAACACGCUUUUUGUCUGAAAUGUAUUUUUAUUCCUUUUGCGAUUAUAUGCGCAAUAAAUAAAACAUAACUUUCAACAACGGAUCUCUUGGCUCUCGCAUCGAUGAAGAACGCAGC
RNAcentral lists this unclassified non-coding RNA (370 nucleotides) under uncultured fungus. RNAcentral describes it as "partial contains small subunit ribosomal RNA, internal transcribed spacer 1, and 5.8S ribosomal RNA". The stretch from base 1 to 73 matches the Rfam family "Eukaryotic small subunit ribosomal RNA", at positions 1759 to 1831 of the family's 1831-position model. Lineage: Eukaryota; Fungi. The record is from RNAcentral.